UUUGGGGGAAAUAGUGGUCUGUUAAGUUGGGGAAAAGACAUCAUCCCUUGAGAUAAAAUUAGGUUUGUUUCCUUUUACUCCUAAAAUCUUUUUACCGUGGGUAGAAAGAAUCAAUAUGGGGGUAUAAAAGGAACCAAAUUUAAAUUUAACUCAAGGGAUCUUGAUGUCGUUUUCCCCAACAGGAAGGAUCACUAUUUUCCCCAAG
Medicago truncatula (barrel medic) is the source of this 205-nucleotide microRNA precursor. It matches the Rfam family "MIR2670 microRNA precursor family". Lineage: Eukaryota; Viridiplantae; Streptophyta; Magnoliopsida; Fabales; Fabaceae. The record is from Rfam.